UACGUAGGGUGCAAGCGUUGUCCGGAAUUAUUGGGCGUGAAGGGCUCGUAGGCGGUCCAUCGCGUCGGGAGUGAAAAGCUGGGGCUUAACCCCAGUCCUGCUUCCGAUACGGGUGGACUAGAGGUAGGUAGGGGAGAUCGGAAUUCCUGGUGUAGCGGUGAAAUGCGCAGAUAUCAGGAGGAACACCGGUGGCGAAGGCGGAUCUCUGGGCCUUACCUGACGCUGAGGAGCGAAAGCAUGGGGAGCAAACAGG
This 253-nucleotide ribosomal RNA is filed under the name uncultured bacterium. RNAcentral's name for it is "partial 16S ribosomal RNA". It matches the Rfam family "Bacterial small subunit ribosomal RNA", at positions 524 to 776 of the family's 1533-position model. The record is from RNAcentral.